UGGGAAUUUGGACAAUGGGCGAAAGCCUGAUCCAGCAAUGCCGCGUGUGUGAAGAAGGCCUUCGGGUUGUAAAGCACUUUUGUCCGGAAAGAAAUCCUUGGCUCUAAUACAGUCGGGGGAUGACGGUACCGGAAGAAUAAGCACCGGCUAACUACGUGCCAGCAGCCGCGGUAAUACGUAGGGUGCAAGCGUUAAUCGGAAUUACUGGGCGUAAAGCGUGCGCAGGCGGUUUGCUAAGACCGAUGUGAAAUCCCCGGGCUCAACCUGGGAACUGCAUUGGUGACUGGCAGGCUAGAGUAUGGCAGAGGGGGGUAGAAUUCCACGUGUAGCAGUGAAAUGCGUAGAGAUGUGGAGGAAUACCGAUGGCGAAGGCAGCCCCCUGGGCCAAUACUGACGCUCAUGCACGAAAGCGUGGGGAGCAAACAGGAUUAGAUACCCUGGUAGUCCACGCCCUAAACGAUGUCAACUAGUUGUUGGGGACUUCAUUUUCCUUAGUAACGUAGCUAACGCGUGAAGUUGACCGCCUGGGGAGUACGGUCGCAAGAUUAAAACUUAAAGGAAUUGACGGGGUCAUAGCUGUUUCCU
This 585-nucleotide ribosomal RNA is filed under the name uncultured bacterium. Its description in RNAcentral is "partial 16S ribosomal RNA". It matches the Rfam family "Bacterial small subunit ribosomal RNA", at positions 357 to 1375 of the family's 1533-position model. The record is from RNAcentral.